AGUGAACGCUGGCGGCAGGCCUAACACAUGCAAGUCGAACGGCAGCACAGGGGAGCUUGCUCCCUGGGUGGCGAGUGGCGGACGGGUGAGGAAUGCGUCGGAAUCUGCCUUUUCGUGGGGGAUAACGUAGGGAAACUUACGCUAAUACCGCAUACGACCUACGGGGGAAAGCCGGGGACCUUCGGGCCUGGCGCGGAAAGAUGAGCCGACGUCGGAUUAGCAGGUUGGAGGGGUAACGGCCCACCAAGGCGACGAUCCGUAGCUGGUCUGAGGGGAUGAUCAGCCACACUGGGACUGAGACACGGCCCAGACUCCUACGGGAGGCAGCAGUGGGGAAUAUUGGACAAUGGGCGCAAGCCUGAUCCAGCCAUGCCGCGUGUGUGAAGAAGGCCUUCGGGUUGUAAAGCACUUUUGUACGGGAAGAAAAGCCCCGGGUUAAUACCCUGGGGUCAUGACGGUACCGUAAGAAUAAGCACCGGCUAACUUCGUGCCAGCAGCCGCAGUAA
This 506-nucleotide ribosomal RNA is filed under the name uncultured bacterium. RNAcentral's name for it is "partial 16S ribosomal RNA". It matches the Rfam family "Bacterial small subunit ribosomal RNA", at positions 30 to 523 of the family's 1533-position model. The record is from RNAcentral.